GGGGAAUAUUGCACAAUGGAGGGAACUCUGAUGCAGCGACGCCGCGUGAGCGAUGAAGGUUUUCGGAUCGUAAAGCUCUGUCCUAAGGGACGAUAAUGACGGUACCUUAGGAGGAAGCCCCGGCUAACUACGUGCCAGCAGCCGCGGUAAUACGUAGGGGGCGAGCGUUGUCCGGAUUUAUUGGGCGUAAAGGGUGCGUAGGCGGCCUUGUAAGUCAGAUGUGAAAUCUCACGGCUUAACCGUGGUAAGCAUUUGAAACUGUGAGGCUUGAGUACAGGAGAGGAGAGUGGAAUUCCUAGUGUAGCGGUGAAAUGCGUAGAUAUUAGGAGGAAUACCAGUGGCGAAGGCGACUCUCUGGACUGUAACUGACGCUGAGGCACGAAAGCGUGGGGAGCAAAC
Molecule: ribosomal RNA, 399 nt
Filed under: uncultured bacterium
Lineage: Bacteria
Description: bacterial SSU rRNA
Rfam family: Bacterial small subunit ribosomal RNA
Source: RNAcentral